This 68-nucleotide transfer RNA is filed under the name Takifugu obscurus x Takifugu rubripes. RNAcentral describes it as "tRNA-Glu". It matches the Rfam family "tRNA". From Rfam's summary of the family: Transfer RNA (tRNA) molecules are approximately 80 nucleotides in length. Their secondary structure includes four short double-helical elements and three loops (D, anti-codon, and T loops). Further hydrogen bonds mediate the characteristic L-shaped molecular structure. tRNAs have two regions of fundamental functional importance: the anti-codon, which is responsible for specific mRNA codon recognition, and the 3' end, to which the tRNAs corresponding amino acid is attached (by aminoacyl-tRNA synthetases). tRNAs cope with the degeneracy of the genetic code in two manners: having more than one tRNA (with a specific anti-codon) for a particular amino acid; and 'wobble' base-pairing, i.e. permitting non-standard base-pairing at the 3rd anti-codon position. Lineage: Eukaryota; Metazoa; Chordata; Actinopteri; Tetraodontiformes; Tetraodontidae. The record is from RNAcentral.
GUUUUUGUAGUUGAGUAACAACGAUGGUUUUCACGCCAUAGGUCCUGGUUAAAAUCCUGGCAGAAACU